AGCCCCGUGAUGUAAAGCAUAUCAGAUUGCAAGUCUGAAGGAGUAGAGUAAUUCCCUGCCGGGGCUU
This 67-nucleotide transfer RNA is filed under the name Curimatopsis evelynae (spottail curimata). RNAcentral describes it as "tRNA-Cys". Lineage: Eukaryota; Metazoa; Chordata; Actinopteri; Characiformes; Curimatidae. The record is from RNAcentral.